Molecule: ribosomal RNA, 552 nt
Filed under: uncultured Marmoricola sp.
Lineage: Bacteria; Bacillati; Actinomycetota; Actinomycetes; Propionibacteriales; Nocardioidaceae
Description: bacterial SSU rRNA
Rfam family: Bacterial small subunit ribosomal RNA
Source: RNAcentral
CCACCAGGCUUCGACGGGUAGCCGGCCUGANNGGUGACCGGCCCACUGGGACUGAGACACGGCCCAGACUCCUACGGGAGGCAGCAGUGGGGAAUAUUGGACAAUGGGCGAAAGCCUGAUCCAGCAACGCCGCGUGAGGGAUGACGGCCUUCGGGUUGUAAACCUCUUUCAUCCAUGACGAAGGCAAGUGACGGUAGUGGAAGAAGAAGCACCGGCCAACUACGUGCCAGCAGCCGCGGUAAUACGUAGGGUGCGAGCGUUGUCCGGAAUUAUUGGGCGUAAAGGGCUCGUAGGCGGUCUGUUGCGUCGGGAGUGAAAACUCAGGGCUUAACCCUGAGCCUGCUUCCGAUACGGGCAGACUAGAGGUAUGCAGGGGAGAACGGAAUUCCUGGUGUAGCGGUGAAAUGCGCAGAUAUCAGGAGGAACACCGGUGGCGAAGGCGGUUCUCUGGGCAUUACCUGACGCUGAGGAGCGAAAGUGUGGGGAGCGAACAGGAUUAGAUACCCUGGUAGUCCACACCGUAAACGUUGGGCGCUAGGUGUGGGACUCAUU